AUUCCAUGAUGGGGACAUUCUAGGAUCUAGUCUUGGAAGCGCUCCCAUGCUUCUGGAACAGAUUCAUCAUUGUUGACGGU
This 80-nucleotide small nucleolar RNA is filed under the name Sorghum bicolor (sorghum). RNAcentral describes it as "Plant small nucleolar RNA R71". It matches the Rfam family "Plant small nucleolar RNA R71", at positions 1 to 80 of the family's 107-position model. Rfam says of the family: R71 is a member of the C/D box family of snoRNAs containing the C (UGAUGA) and D (CUGA) box motifs. Lineage: Eukaryota; Viridiplantae; Streptophyta; Magnoliopsida; Poales; Poaceae. The record is from Rfam by way of RNAcentral.